This 500-nucleotide ribosomal RNA is filed under the name uncultured bacterium. RNAcentral's name for it is "partial 16S ribosomal RNA". It matches the Rfam family "Bacterial small subunit ribosomal RNA", at positions 30 to 523 of the family's 1533-position model. The record is from RNAcentral.
AUUGAACGCUGGCGGCAUGCCUUACACAUGCAAGUCGAACGGCAGCACGGGAGCAAUCCUGGUGGCGAGUGGCGAACGGGUGAGUAAAGUAUCGGAACGUGCCCAGUCGUGGGGGAUAACGUAGCGAAAGUUACGCUAAUACCGCAUACGAUCUAUGGAUGAAAGCGGGGGACCGCAAGACCUCGCGCGAUUGGAGCGGCCGAUAUCAGAUUAGGUAGUUGGUGGGGUAAAGGCCCACCAAGCCGACGAUCUGUAGCUGGUCUGAGAGGACGACCAGCAACACUGGGACUGAGACACGGCCCAGACUCCUACGGGAGGCAGCAGUGGGGAAUUUUGGACAAUGGGCGAAAGCCUGAUCCAGCCAUGCCGCGUGCAGGAUGAAGGCCUUCGGGUUGUAAACUGCUUUUGUACGGAACGAAAAGGUUUGGCCUAAUAAGCUGAGCUCAUGACGGUACCGUAAGAAUAAGCACCGGCUAACUACGUGCCAGCCGCCGCGGUAA